AAUAUAAUAAAAGAUUUUUCUUAUUGUUUAUACAGUGAAUUCAGAAAACUACAUACUCAAAAGGCGCAAAAUAUUUUUUAAGAUUGUAAAAAAAAUUUUUUCACGGAUCGUUCUCAUAAAUCAAUUUUUUCUGAAAAAGAGUUUUUAAAAGCAAACUCUACAUCGUCAUCCAUUUUGUAUUUUUAAAUAUCAUUUGGGGUUAUUUUUACUGUGUGAAGUGGAUUCGUCGUAUUUUCAGGUGAAGUUUUCUUUGUGGAAGGGUUUUUGAUUCGUCGCAUUUGUUUUUAUUAUUCUAGUAUACAUACAAAAAUAAAAAAAAAUUCCACCAAAUUGAGGGGAAUCAUGGCUGACGAAGACCUUUCUCUAAACGAAGACCAACUUCUGGAUAAUUUGGUCAACGACGCUAAUGGCGAAUCGGAGUUGUUAAAUGAAGACGAAACAAAUAUGCAAAUAGAUCCAGAACUAGAAGCAAUUAAAGCUCGUGUAAAAGAAAUGGAAGAAGAGGCUGAAAAAAUAAAACAAAUGCAGUCUGAAGUUGAUAAGCAAAUGGCCGGAUCGACAGCUGGUAUAGUUACAAUACCACUAUCAAUAGAAGAAAAACAGGAAAUAGAUAGUAGAUCAGUUUAUGUUGGCAACGUAGAUUAUGGCGCUUCAGCUGAAGAGUUGGAAGCUCAUUUUCAUGGCUGUGGAACAAUAAAUAGAGUAACAAUUUUAUGUAACAAAGCUGAUGGCCACCCGAAAGGUUUUGCGUAUAUAGAAUUUGGUGCUAAGGAAUAUGUAGAAACUGCAUUAGCAAUGAAUGAAACAUUGUUUCGUGGAAGACAAAUUAAAGUUAUGGCUAAAAGAACCAAUCGUCCAGGUCUAUCAACAACGAAUCGGUUUCCAAGAGGAGCCGGAGCAUUUAGAGGUCGCAUUGCUAGGAUUUCACGAGGGGCUUGCUGCCAUACAUACCGUGGAUCCAGAAGGAUUUUGUAAUUUUUAUUUACAUUUUGCAGAAGUGGCUAUCGUGGGAGGGUUAACUACUAUUCGCCAUACUGAUUAAUUUUAAAUUCAUCAUGAUUAGAUAAAAAUUAAUUUUAAAAUUCAAAAAACAUUAUUUAAAAAAUAUGAAAAAUUAAUUCAUCCACAAAAAAAUUUUUUUUUAUAUAAAAGAUGACAAAAAAUGAAAAAUAAGAAAAAGAAAAAACAAUAAAUAGAAAAGAAUAAAAAAGAGCCAAAAAUAAGAUAAAAAAAGGAUAAAAAAGGAAAAAGUAACAAAAAAUUAAAAGAAAAAAUAGCAAAAAUAUAAAAAAAAGAAGGAAAAUUGGUUAAUAAUGUUUUUUGAAAUAAAAAAAAAUCAAAAAGCAAAAUAGAUACAAAAGAAUAAAAAAAGAAAAAAGAAUCACGCAAAAGACAAAAAAGGAUGAAAAAAAUUAAGGAAGAAAAAAUUUUUAUAAAACAAAAGUAAAAAGAAAAAAAAAGCGAAAAAAAGGAAAAAAGGAAAACCCAUCUUCACUCAAACAUUUUUAGAAAUUAAAAAAAAGUAAAAAAAAAAAAAAAAAAAAUUUAAGAAAAAAAAAUUUCAAAAAAAGGCAAAGAAAAUAUUUUAAACUGAAAAUAUAAAAUAAUCAUAAAUAAAGAAAUAUAUAAAAAUUGUGAAUUAAUUCUGUUUUUAUUUAUUUUCUGAGAUAAUUUGACAUUGAGAGAAACUGACAUUCCUGAAGCCCAACUUUGUAACAGUAUGUAUUUGUAAUUUUCUUUAUUACUAAUUUGUCUAGUUUUUAAUUUUAGGGGAAACUUGUUGUUGAUCACACCGACAGGUCAGUAUUAAUAGAAAUGCCAACAGGUUAGUAUUUUUAGAAAUUUGAGCUAAUUUACAGUUUUUGGUGCAAAGUGGUGGUAAGUAAUUUAAAUUUUUAUGUGCAUGAAUAUUUUGUUAUUUGCAAUGAUAUUUUAUAGAUUUUGUUAAUCUUCCUUCUAUAGAAAAUUUAUGCGGGAGAUAUCGUUUGUUUCCAAUUAAUUAAAGAAGCUAAUGUGUUUCUUUAACAGUUCUUUUUUAGAUGUCUGCGCUACAUUUCACAGAAUUAAUAUUCGAACACACUUUAUUAAAGCAAGUAAUUUUUAAACGAUCUACAUACAUUUUCAAUUUGUGCUGCGUACAAUUUUUGGACGUGCUACAAAUUACAAGUUAGAACUAUUUUAGCACUGAAAAAAUUAAAAUCUCCGAUUAUAAUUAUUUUUUUUUUGAUCAAACUCCGCUUCCUGAGUUAUGUAUCAGACAUCAGUGUCGUCAUUUAUAGGAAAGGGAGUGAAAAAGAGAAGAAUAUGUAGGUUGAAAGAGUUAUUAAUUUUUCUAAUACACAUUUAUAUUUUUUAAUAUGUUUUUGUAUCGUUUUGAUUAUAUCACAAGGCCAAAAUUAAUCAUGUGGCAAAAAAAAUUAAUUAUUGAAAUUUGAUCUCUUUUAUUCAAUCACCAAAAUA
This is an RNA transcript of Condylostylus longicornis, 2460 nucleotides long. It is a transcript of the gene named polyadenylate-binding protein 2, with no coding region annotated. The record is from RefSeq and is a predicted model, not a curated record. NCBI's taxonomy places the organism in Eukaryota, Metazoa, Arthropoda, Insecta, Diptera, Dolichopodidae. The transcript has 5 exons.